UCUCUAUGCGGUGUCAGCAGCCGCGGUAAUACGUAGGGUGCGAGCGUUAAUCGGAAUUACUGGGCGUAAAGCGUGCGCAGGCGGUUAUGUAAGACAGAUGUGAAAUCCCCGGGCUCAACCUGGGAACUGCAUUUGUGACUGCAUGGCUAGAGUACGGUAGAGGGGGAUGGAAUUCCGCGUGUAGCAGUGAAAUGCGUAGAUAUGCGGAGGAACACCGAUGGCGAAGGCAAUCCCCUGGACCUGUACUGACGCUCGAUGCACGAAAGCGUGGGGAGCAAACAGGAUUAGAUACCCUGGUAGUCCACGCCCUAAACGAUGUCAACUGGUGUUGGGAAUUAGUUUCUCAGUAACGAAGCUAACGCGUGAAGUUNACCGCCUGGGGAGUACGGCCGCAAGGUUGAAACUCAAAUGAAUUGGCGGG
Molecule: ribosomal RNA, 421 nt
Filed under: uncultured bacterium
Lineage: Bacteria
Description: bacterial SSU rRNA
Rfam family: Bacterial small subunit ribosomal RNA
Source: RNAcentral